UACGGGGGGGGCAAGCGUUGUUCGGAAUUACUGGGCGUAAAGGGCUCGUAGGUGGCCAACUAAGUCAGACGUGAAAUCCCUCGGCUUAACCGGGGAACUGCAUCUGAUACUGGAUGGCUUGAGUUCGGGAGAGGGAUGCGGAAUUCCAGGUGUAGCGGUGAAAUGCGUAGAUAUCUGGAGGAACACCGAUGGCGAAGGCAAUCCCCUGGACCUGUACUGACGCUCAUGCACGAAAGCGUGGGGAGCAAACAGG
RNAcentral lists this ribosomal RNA (253 nucleotides) under uncultured bacterium. Its description in RNAcentral is "partial 16S ribosomal RNA". It matches the Rfam family "Bacterial small subunit ribosomal RNA", at positions 524 to 776 of the family's 1533-position model. The record is from RNAcentral.